Molecule: long non-coding RNA, 449 nt
Organism: Lynx canadensis (Canada lynx)
Lineage: Eukaryota; Metazoa; Chordata; Mammalia; Carnivora; Felidae
Exons: 2
Source: RefSeq, a predicted model, not a curated record
GCAGGGACUGGCCAGCAGGUGCUUGCAGCAGACCAGCCCACACAUGAUGCUGGCUGGGACUGGGAGGGGGGGCAGUGGCCGCGGGGAGAAAAGCCCGCUCGAGCAACACUGAGGACAGAAAGCCAACGGGGAAUAGCACACGAGAGUCCACUCUCCGCGUGAUGGCCUGAUUAAGCGUUUGGGUCUGCGUGCUUGAGGCCUGGCUAUGGCAGGCCGGUGAGCUCCGGGAGGACUCCGUGAGACCUCUUGACACCUGCCCACGAUGGGAUCCCUCCCCCCGCAUGGCCUUGGCUCUGUUCAGAUUCCCUGGGACGGUGGAAAGCCACGUGAGGACCCAGUGAAAAGCUGGCCGUGCGCAAGCCAGGAAGAGAGACCGCUCCAGAAUGUCCCCCUGAUGGCACCUUGGCCUCAGACUUCCCAUCUAUAGAACUAGGAGAAAAUAAAUGUCC